This 292-nucleotide ribosomal RNA is filed under the name uncultured bacterium. RNAcentral's name for it is "partial 16S ribosomal RNA". It matches the Rfam family "Bacterial small subunit ribosomal RNA", at positions 505 to 796 of the family's 1533-position model. The record is from RNAcentral.
GUGUCAGCCGCCGCGGUAAUACGUAGGGUCCAAGCGUUAUCCGGAAUCACUGGGCGUAAAGCGUGCGUAGGUGGCGUGUUAAGUGUGAUGUUAAAUCGUGUGGCUCAACCAUAUCGAUGUGUCGCAUACUGGCAUGCUAGAGGGAAGCAGAGGCAAGUGGAAUUUGUAGUGUAGCAGUGAAAUGCGUAGAUAUUACAAGGAACACCAAUGGCGAAGGCAGCUUGCUGGGCUUCUUCUGACACUGAGGUACGAAAGCGUGGGGAGCGAACAGGAUUAGAUACCCUCGUAGUCC